UGCCUUUGCCCAACGACAACACCAUCAUGGUAGCGCUACCGUAGAGUGCGUAACCUGCAGCCACCAUAGCUCUACCAGGUUGCAAAACGUUCUUGACGUUGAUUUCGUUGCUCUCGUCAAUCGUCCUGCGAGAAAAGAUUUAACACAUAAAAUACAAAAAAAUGAUGUGAGCUGGCCAAGACUUAUCCGAUCAUUUUUUUUUUGUUCUGUCAACAGGGUGUUGUUGUGAGUAUUGCGGACUUGAAAUAAUAAUUAAUUCAUACUUAUAAAUUCCGAAGAUGGAUCCGAUGGAUACCAGACAGUCUAUGUUAGACGAUCCGUCCAAUGGGUCGAAGCACACGAUGUACUUUCCCCGUUUUUCAGUCUCGAUCUAGAAAACAUCCAAUCGUUAAAUAUCAUAAGGUACAAUUAUCGUGGGACGUGUCGUCCCCCUAUCACCGGUAUAGUUACCUCUAUGGUAGUUUCGUUUUCUUCGCUCACCAACAUGUUCACCUUGUAGGACGAAGCCAACAUGUUGAUAAACAAUUCGUUGCUGAGAACGUCCAAUUUUUUCACGUCUUCCCCUUGCACGUUCGUGGAACCAGCCAUGCCG
This is a long non-coding RNA of Adelges cooleyi (spruce gall adelgid), 592 nucleotides long. RefSeq lists it as uncharacterized. Lineage: Eukaryota; Metazoa; Arthropoda; Insecta; Hemiptera; Adelgidae. The transcript has 2 exons. The record is from RefSeq and is a predicted model, not a curated record.